This is a small nuclear RNA of Hypanus sabinus (Atlantic stingray), 103 nucleotides long. The record is from RefSeq and is a predicted model, not a curated record. Lineage: Eukaryota; Metazoa; Chordata; Chondrichthyes; Myliobatiformes; Dasyatidae.
UAGCUCUGGCAACUCACAUACUAAAACUGGAGUGAUACAGAGAAGGUUAGAGUAGACCCUAUGCAAGAAUGACACACAGAUUUGUGAAGCAUUCUGUAUUUUU